CCAGACUCCUACGGGAGGCAGCAGUGGGGGAUAUUGCACAAUGGGGGGAACCCUGAUGCAGCGACGCCGCGUGGGUGAAGGAGUGCUUCGGCAUGUAAAGCCCUAUCGGCAGGGAAGAAGCAAGACGGUACCUGACUAAGAAGCCCCGGCUAACUACGUGCCAGCAGCCGCGGUAAUACGUAGGGGGCAAGCGUUAUCCGGAUUUACUGGGUGUAAAGGGGGCGUAGACGGCAGCGCAAGUCUGAAGUGAAAUGCCGGGGCUUAACCCCGGAACUGCUUUGGAAACUGAGCAGCUAGAGUGCAGGAGAGGUAAGUGGAAUUCCAGGUGUAGGAGUGAAAUCCGUAGAUAUCUGGAGGAACAUCAGUGGCGAAGGCGACUAUCUGGCACAUAACUGACGCUGAGGAGCGAAAGCGUGGGUAGCAAACAGGAUUAGAUACCCCUGUAG
This 446-nucleotide ribosomal RNA is filed under the name uncultured bacterium. RNAcentral describes it as "partial 16S ribosomal RNA". It matches the Rfam family "Bacterial small subunit ribosomal RNA", at positions 331 to 793 of the family's 1533-position model. The record is from RNAcentral.